This 103-nucleotide microRNA precursor is filed under the name Dasypus novemcinctus (nine-banded armadillo). RNAcentral's name for it is "microRNA 135b (ENSDNOG00000049761.1)". The stretch from base 7 to 94 matches the Rfam family "mir-135 microRNA precursor family". Rfam says of the family: The hairpin precursors (represented here) are predicted based on base pairing and cross-species conservation -- their extents are not known. The record is from RNAcentral. Lineage: Eukaryota; Metazoa; Chordata; Mammalia; Cingulata; Dasypodidae.
CCCUCUGCUCUGCCGCGGCCUAUGGCUUUUCAUUCCUAUGUGAUUGCUGCUCCAAACUCACGUAGGGCUAAAAGCCAUGGGGCUGCGGCGAGGGGCCUGCUCC